ACCUGGAUGCAGAAAUACCAAUCAUUUUCCUCCUCCAGGACAAUGUUCUUUACCCCAGAGUGACUCAGUCCAAAAAGAACAGAGGCAGAGGGGAAACACCAGAAGGCUCCCUCCCUUUCUAGCUUGACCAUUCUUGGAGGAGACCAGCCACAGGAAUGAAGUCUGGUGGCAAGAGAGAAGUCAGGAUGACAGGCUGUAGUGGAUGACCAUGGUCAUUUUUGAUCUCGGAUCAAGCUCUAAGCACGACACAGUGCCUUCUUCAGCUGCCUUCACACCCAGGUUGUGCCCAAGUACCCAUUCCACUAGGGGAAGUCUUCACAUCAACCCUACAAGUCACUGUUAUCCUCUGCCUGGUUUAGUCCAUCUGUCAAGCCAGUUUUCCUGGGGUGUGGCCACUAUACCUGCUCCAGCUUUUUGGAACCACAGGUGUUCAACUUUUGCGCUGGGAGGAGGCAGAGGACUAGCCGAACGCAGGUAGCCCGUCCGGCCCUCCGAUUGGCUCUGAGCCUGCGGCAUCCCCUGAGGAUUGGCUCCAAGUGGCCGCCCGGAUGGGCUUCCUUAUUGGUCACCAGGUACUUUGAGCUCUCUCCUCCUACCGUCCAUGUCGCUCGUCUAUUGGUCAGUUGUCCCGAACCUGGCCAAUCCGGCAAACUAUGACCGUCCCAGAGGAGAGGGAGGGGGUUCGAGUGCAUUUCAUUGCCCCCAGCUUUGGCCUCUUCGGUCCUGCGAGGGCUUAGCGCGGGCCUCCUGAUCCCCCUUGGGUGGAGGUCGCGCGCGCGCCAGUCCCACGCCAAUUCCCCAGCUCUAAUAUCUUCCAUGGAGCAAAGUGGGGCAAGAGUUGCAGAAUUCCCAGGCGGGGUCGGGGGGUAAUGCCUGGGCUUUCCCUUCAGCGGCAGCCACAGGAGAUGAGGGGGCCAG
RNAcentral lists this long non-coding RNA (918 nucleotides) under Monodelphis domestica (gray short-tailed opossum). Its description in RNAcentral is "lncRNA (ENSMODG00000036455.1)". Lineage: Eukaryota; Metazoa; Chordata; Mammalia; Didelphimorphia; Didelphidae. The record is from RNAcentral.